RNAcentral lists this ribosomal RNA (484 nucleotides) under uncultured bacterium. RNAcentral describes it as "bacterial SSU rRNA". It matches the Rfam family "Bacterial small subunit ribosomal RNA", at positions 60 to 545 of the family's 1533-position model. The record is from RNAcentral.
AGUCGAGCGAGCGGUUUCGAUGAAGUUUUCGGAUGGAUUUGAAAUCGACUUAGCGGCGGACGGGUGAGUAACGCGUGGGUAACCUGCCUUACACUGGGGGAUAACAGUUAGAAAUGACUGCUAAUACCGCAUAAGCGCACAGGGCCGCAUGGUCUGGUGUGAAAAACUCCGGUGGUGUAAGAUGGACCCGCGUCUGAUUAGGUAGUUGGUGGGGUAACGGCCCACCAAGCCGACGAUCAGUAGCCGACCUGAGAGGGUGACCGGCCACAUUGGGACUGAGACACGGCCCAAACUCCUACGGGAGGCAGCAGUGGGGAAUAUUGGACAAUGGGCGAAAGCCUGAUCCAGCGACGCCGCGUGAGUGAAGAAGUAUUUCGGUAUGUAAAGCUCUAUCAGCAGGGAAGAAAAUGACGGUACCUGACUAAGAAGCCCCGGCUAACUACGUGCCAGCAGCCGCGGUAAUACGUAUGGGGCAAGCGUUAUC